Molecule: small RNA, 119 nt
Filed under: Klebsiella pneumoniae
Lineage: Bacteria; Pseudomonadati; Pseudomonadota; Gammaproteobacteria; Enterobacterales; Enterobacteriaceae
Description: RtT sRNA
Rfam family: RtT RNA
About the family: This family represents a bacterial cis-regulatory element known as RtT RNA. The exact function of RtT is unknown although it is thought that it may be involved in changing the cellular response in relation to amino acid starvation.
Source: RNAcentral
GGGGAAGGAUGAGAAGCUUCGACCAAGGUUCGACUCGAGCGAAGCGAGAGAACGUUGCCGCAGGCAAUGGCCCGAAGGGCGAGGCGCUUUAGCGCCGAGUAAUCCUUCCCCCACCACUU